This is a long non-coding RNA of Salmo salar (Atlantic salmon), 684 nucleotides long. RefSeq lists it as uncharacterized. NCBI's taxonomy places the organism in Eukaryota, Metazoa, Chordata, Actinopteri, Salmoniformes, Salmonidae. The record is from RefSeq and is a predicted model, not a curated record.
GGGCGUCUCCAUGUUCUUAAAGAGAGAGUGCAUGAAAAAUACCACCGCUGUAACAAGGUGGCGUGGUUUCUGCAGGAUCGGCAGACUGCAGCAAAGACAGUACAGUAUGAAGAUAUGGAAAAACUGCUUCUCCAAUAAAAAUCCCCGAUCACGCUUGUAGGCGAUGUCAUGGCUACGAUGGCUAGCUAAACUCAGGCGCCGAAACACGUCAUCGGGUCUAAGGUUCGUCUCGCUCAGGACUGCGCAUUUGCAGGCCAUCAAAUCAUAGAUGGCUGCACACAAGCUCACAGCCACCUCAGAGAAGUGAGGAGCAGCAGGAUGAUGAGGUGGCGAUGCCUACUUGUUGUGAGUCCUGGUGGCCACCACAGCCCGGGCUAUAUGCUGCUGCAGGUCCAGAGGCAGUAGAGUCAGGUCUCCCAACACCCGGAUGCACACCCCAUGCUUCUCCAGAUUCUCCCUGGAUUGGAAGAGAUCAGACAUGACCAAGUCAGGAUGGCUUUUGGUCCCCCGAAAAUGAACAGCUGAUAAAUAAAACUGUUGCUGGCCAAAAUGACCAGUAGGAAAAAAAAUCCCAUUGUAAAAUAAUUUAUGGAAAUACCAGUCAGUCUAUCGGUUAAUUUGCAUAAUUUAAUUGGUGUGUAUUUUCAUUAGUUGUUGGAUUAAUAAAAUACAUGAUGACUAUCA